RNAcentral lists this ribosomal RNA (479 nucleotides) under uncultured bacterium. RNAcentral's name for it is "bacterial SSU rRNA". It matches the Rfam family "Bacterial small subunit ribosomal RNA", at positions 28 to 507 of the family's 1533-position model. The record is from RNAcentral.
GACGAACGCUGGCGGCGUGCCUAACACAUGCAAGUCAACUUGACUGAAGGAGCAAUCUGACAGUAGAGUGGCGCAAGGGUGCGUAACGCGUAAGUAACUUGCCCAAGGUAAGGAAUAACGUCGAGAAAUCGGCGCUAAUACCUCAUAAUGCAGCGGAUCCGCAUGGAUAUGUUGUUAAAGGUUUACCGCCUUGGGAUAGGCUUGCGUCUGAUUAGUUAGUUGGUGUGGUAACGGCACACCAAGGCUACGAUCAGUAACUGGUCUGAGAGGAUGAUCAGUCACACUGGAACUGAGACACGGUCCAGACUCCUACGGGAGGCAGCAGUGAGGAAUAUUGGGCAAUGCUCGAAAGAGUGACCCAGCAACGCCGCGUGGAGGAUGAAGGUAUUCUAUAUCGUAAACUCCUGUGAGAGCAGACGAAAGACAGAUUAUUAAUCUGGAUGACUGUAUGCUCAGAGGAAGCCCCGGCUAACUACGUG